CAGCAUGGCUUUUUGCCAAGCGGUGCCAUGUCCGCACCCAGGAUCCAAACCAGCAAACCCCAGGCCACUGAGAAAUGGAACUUGCAAACUUAACCAGUGUGCCACCAGGCCGGCCCCUGCUCACCUUUAAGGGCCAACAAGGGUGCCUCCCACCCCAAGAAGUCUCCUUGUCUCCCAAGCCAGAAGUGAUACCAAACCUCUUUAUCUCAAAUUCCUGUGCCAAUGUGCAGUAAGCCAAUUACUAAGACAUCUGCUUGGAGAUGGAGAAAGGUUUAUUCAAAUUGGCCAAAAUGAGAAGGCGGGAGGAUGGGUUCUCUCAAAUCCACCUUAACAAAAGAAGAGAGCAGGAGCUUUUAUAGAGAUGAUCUGGAAGCUACCAACUGGAAUAUAUCAAAAAUCCAUUCCUGGUGUCUCUACAUUGCUCCUGGAGACAGGAGCUCAGUGAUGAUGCUCAGACUCUGGAAUCCAUCCAGCCUGUGUUUUAACCGGUGUGCCAAUCCCAGCAUGCUAACAGUGUGAACUGGGGCAAGUGAGGUACCUGGCAAGCCUCUUCAGAUCUCUCCAGAGUACACGACAGAUACAGGCCGUAACUAUAUCCCCUGUAAUAGCCAGCACAUUGCCUGGUGCACUUGGGCAUUCACUAAGUGUGUGUUGAAAAAAAUAAAUGAAUGAUCACGAAUGCAGCA
This is a non-coding RNA of Equus caballus (horse), 686 nucleotides long. The record is from RefSeq and is a predicted model, not a curated record. NCBI's taxonomy places the organism in Eukaryota, Metazoa, Chordata, Mammalia, Perissodactyla, Equidae.